This 64-nucleotide transfer RNA is filed under the name Atractolytocestus huronensis. RNAcentral describes it as "tRNA-Ile". Lineage: Eukaryota; Metazoa; Platyhelminthes; Cestoda; Caryophyllidea; Lytocestidae. The record is from RNAcentral.
GCCAAUAGGGCUGCUAUAGCAGGCUACUUUGAUAUAGUAGUAUUAAAAUUGAAUUUCGUUGGUA